UGGGAGGGAGAUGGAGGGGCAGC
RNAcentral lists this microRNA (23 nucleotides) under Monodelphis domestica (gray short-tailed opossum). Its description in RNAcentral is "mdo-miR-12387-5p". Lineage: Eukaryota; Metazoa; Chordata; Mammalia; Didelphimorphia; Didelphidae. The record is from miRBase by way of RNAcentral.